RNAcentral lists this transfer RNA (72 nucleotides) under Halamphora coffeiformis. RNAcentral's name for it is "Halamphora coffeaeformis tRNA-Asn". It matches the Rfam family "tRNA". From Rfam's summary of the family: Transfer RNA (tRNA) molecules are approximately 80 nucleotides in length. Their secondary structure includes four short double-helical elements and three loops (D, anti-codon, and T loops). The record is from RNAcentral. Lineage: Eukaryota; Bacillariophyta; Bacillariophyceae; Naviculales; Amphipleuraceae.
UUUUCAGUAGCUCAGUGGUAGAGCGAGUGGCUGUUAACUACUUGGUCGUUGGUUCAAGUCCAACCUGAAAAG